Molecule: unclassified non-coding RNA, 308 nt
Organism: Ochotona princeps (American pika)
Lineage: Eukaryota; Metazoa; Chordata; Mammalia; Lagomorpha; Ochotonidae
Gene: 7SK
Rfam family: 7SK RNA
About the family: 7SK was discovered as an abundant small nuclear RNA in the mid-70s but a possible function has only recently been suggested. Two independent studies have found that 7SK RNA binds the CDK9/cyclin T complex (known as elongation factor P-TEFb). P-TEFb activates transcription by phosphorylating the C-terminal domain of RNA polymerase II.
Source: Ensembl
AGAUGUGAGGGUGAUCUGGCUGCAACAUCUGUCACCCCAUUGAUCACCAGGGUUGAUUCAGCUGAUCUGGCUGGCUAGGCAGUUGUCCGCUUCCUCCCUCACCACUCCGUGUGCGUCCCUCCUGAGGCUGCACACUCGGUCGGAGAGGACGACCAUCCCGGCUAGAGGAGGACCGGUCUUGGGUCAAGGGUAUACUAGUAGAUGCGCUCCCCUGCUAGAACCUCCAAACAAGUACUAAAAAAAUCUUAGGAAUUUUCCUUCAACCUUAUGUAAAGCUUAUUAAACUUGGACUACCUUAGUCAAACACU